This 253-nucleotide ribosomal RNA is filed under the name uncultured bacterium. RNAcentral describes it as "partial 16S ribosomal RNA". It matches the Rfam family "Bacterial small subunit ribosomal RNA", at positions 524 to 776 of the family's 1533-position model. The record is from RNAcentral.
UACAGGGGGGGCAAGCGUUGUUCGGAAUUACUGGGCGUAAAGGGUUCGUAGGUGGCCACUUAAGUCAGACGUGAAAUCCCUCAGCUUAACUGGGGAACUGCGUCCGAGACUGGGAGGCUAGAGGUAGGUAGGGGAGAUCGGAAUUCCUGGUGUAGCGGUGAAAUGCGCAGAUAUCAGGAGGAACACCGGUGGCGAAGGCGGAUCUCUGGGCCUUACCUGACGCUCAGGCACGAAAGCUAGGGGAGCGAACAGG